Molecule: ribosomal RNA, 253 nt
Filed under: uncultured bacterium
Lineage: Bacteria
Description: partial 16S ribosomal RNA
Rfam family: Bacterial small subunit ribosomal RNA
Source: RNAcentral
UACGUAGGGGGCAAGCGUUGUCCGGAUUUAUUGGGCGUAAAGAGCUCGUAGGCGGCCUGUCGCGUCGACUGUGAAAACUCACGGCUCAACCGUGGGACUGCAGUCGAUACGGGCAGGCUAGAGUUCGGUAGGGGAGACUGGAAUUCCUGGUGUAGCGGUGAAAUGCGCAGAUAUCAGGAGGAACACCGGUGGCGAAGGCGGGUCUCUGGGCCGAUACUGACGCUGAGGAGCGAAAGCGUGGGGAGCGAACAGG